UUACCAUUCUUCACCUUCACACAUCUGUACUGUUUAAUUCUCUAUCGUUCUAUUUUUCUUUCGAGAGUACUAACCAUCACUCAGGUUUUUUCUUUUCUUCUAUUUUUAUAAAUCUGUCAUGAACACGGAAGAACACUGCAUAAUUAAUACAAAUAUGCAUUGCUAAUUAUUAGGACUGUGUUUCCUACACAGAUGGGAGAAGCAUAAA
RNAcentral lists this small RNA (208 nucleotides) under Arabidopsis thaliana (thale cress). Its description in RNAcentral is "ATSL161290". The record is from RNAcentral. Lineage: Eukaryota; Viridiplantae; Streptophyta; Magnoliopsida; Brassicales; Brassicaceae.